CGAUCGAACAGCAAUGUGUGGCAUACGGCUCAGUAACACGUCGUCAACAUGCCCAGGGGACGUGGAUAACCUCGGGAAACUGAGGAUAAACCGCGAUAGGUCACUACUUCUGGAAUGGGUAAUGACCCAAACCUAUAUGGCCCCUGGAUUGGACUGCGGCCGAUCAGGCUGUUGGUGAGGUAAUGGCCCACCAAACCUGUAACCGGUACGGGCUCUGAGAGGAGGAGCCCGGAGAUGGGCACUGAGACAAGGGCCCAGGCCCUAUGGGGCGCAGCAGGCGCGAAACCUCUGCAAUAGGCGAAAGCUUGACAGGGUUACUCUGAGUGAUUUCCGUUAAGGAGAUCUUUUGGCACCUCUAAAAAUGGUGCAGAAUAAGGGGUGGGCAAG
This 387-nucleotide ribosomal RNA is filed under the name uncultured archaeon. RNAcentral describes it as "bacterial SSU rRNA". It matches the Rfam family "Archaeal small subunit ribosomal RNA", at positions 59 to 450 of the family's 1478-position model. The record is from RNAcentral.